GUGGAUUGGAUCAGCUCAGCAGUCUCAUCCAAUCACAGCAGAGCAUGCCCCUCACUGUGUCCCUCCAGCCAAUCCAUUCAAGUAUCUUCUUCACUGAGGCGGAGCUCAGAAUGAAGAAGAGAGAGAGAGAGAGCAGCUGAGCAGUUAGAACAAAGAGCUGAGACACCCACCCAACACUGAACCAUUCAUUGGAGGAGGGGAGAGGAGCAGAUGUGUGCAGACUAUGACAGACAGACUUGGAGAGCUUCUGAGAGUCAUAAGCCUCUGAAACUAGUGAGGGCAUCCCUCCAUCCUUUGCUUCAUUUCAGGCUGACCGCAGUGAGGCCUGGUGCAAAGCUUGAUCCUGAGCAUGUCCUGAGCAGCUGUGUAGAUCUGCUGAUAGAGUGACAAAGGGUUUUUUACAUUAAUUUCAGAAGGAUCUCACUGACAAAGAGAGAAGUGAUGGGAGCAGAAAGAAAGCAGCUAUUUUCAGUGUGGAGAAGAUAGAGCCGCAGACAUGGAACAGAAUAAACUGAUGGAGAGUGUUAAACAAAGGCUUAAAGACCAUCUUCGGGACAAGUUUACAUGGAUACAUGAGGGGACAUCGGAUAGUCGGUCUCGACUUGACAGUGUCUACACAAGACUGUUCAUCACCCAGCAAGCUCAGGAAUUUAGUUCCAUACCACACGAGAUUCUAGAUCACUUUAAUGUCCCAGAUCAGCAGUCACCAUUUUCAGAGGUUAAUUAUCAACAGAUUGACUUCCUGAAUAUCUUUAAACCAGGAAGAAGCAAUGUCCAACAGCAACCAGCAAAAGACAAGGCAAUCCAAAGAGUCUUGACGAAAGGGAUCGCUGGUAUUGGAAAGACAUUCACUGUCCAAAAUUUUGCCCUCAACUGGGCCGAAGGAAAAUCCAACCAGCACAUUGAUUUUAUCUUUGUGCUCCUCUUUAGAGAGCUGAACAUGCUCAGAGAUGGUGACUACAGUCUGCUGCAACUUCUUCUUUGUUUCUACCCUGAACUGAAACCCCUGGAAGGUAUGCAGCAGCUUGUUAACAAGCAGGUGCUGUUCAUCUUUGAUGGCUUGGAUGAAAAUAGAUUUCCACUGGACUUUGAUGGAAGUGUAAGAAUGGAUGACAUGAAUCAGAGAUCAACAGUCAAUGUGUUGCUGACCAACCUCAUCAAAGGCAACCUGCUGCCUGGUGCUCUGCUGUGGGUAACAUCCAGACCUGCAGCAGCCAGUCAGAUUCCUUCAAAAUACAUUGAUCAGAUGACAGAAGUCCAAGGCUUCACUGAGCGACAAAAAGAAUUAUACUUUAGUAAGAGAUUCAGCACAGCCAGCCAGGCCAAAGAAGUCCUGUCUUGUCUUAGAGGAAUGAUAAGCUUCUAUUUUAUGGGCCAUAUUCCAAUCUUUUGCUGGAUCAUUGCUGAGGUGUUUAGGAAAGGAUGGAGUGAUGAAAAGAGUCGCAGGAUCACAACAAUGACAGAACUGUACAUUUAUUAUUUACUCAUUCAAACACAAAGAACAACACAGAAAUAUGCAGGGAAAAGCUCAAAGAAGAGAGCCAAAAAGAAAAAGUCUCAGGCCCAGAAUUCUGCCAUGCUGUCAAACCUGUCCAAGUUGGCAUUUGAUCAGCUGCAGAAAGGAAACAUCAUAUUCUAUGAAGAGGACCUCAGAGAAAGUGGCAUCAACGUUGAUGAAGCUUCAGUGUUUUGUGGGUUUUGCUCAGAAAUCCUGAAGGAAGAACGUGGUCUGUACAAGAAAAAGAUGUUCAGCUUUGUGCAUUUAAGCUUUCAGGAGUUUCUUGCAGCUCUUUACAUGCACCACUGCUGCAUGACAAAGAACAUCAACACUUUGAAGUCUUUCCUGAGUACUGAUCCUACAGAUAUGAGCUUUCUUGAACUACAGAAAAAGGUUGUGGAUAAAGCCAUGCAAAGUGAGAAAGGUCAGUUAGAUCUGUUUCUCUGUUUCUUCCUUGGAUUUUCCCUGGAGUCCAAUCAAACCAUGCUGCAGAGUUUACUGCCUCAGGCAAAGAGCAGCUCGGACACCAGUGAAGAGAUGAAGGGAUACCUAAAAAAUUUCAGUGUUGAAAACAUUCCACAAGAGAGGUGUAUGAAUCUUUUCCUCUGCAAGAUGGAGCUCAAGGAAGAGAGAUUUCAGGAUGACAUCAGAAUGUAUCUAAAUUCAGGAGUGAGACUCUCACCCAUUGACUGUUCAGUACUGUCCACCAUGCUGCAGAUAUCUGGGGAAGUGGUUGAGGAACUUGAUCUGACAAAAUCCAUUACACCAUUUAUAGGGACUGAGAAACUUGUCCAGCAAUUGAAGAACUGCAAAAAGGCUGUACUCAAGAAUGGUCAUUUAAGCAAUGAUUGUCUAGGUGUACUACUGUCCAUACUUCAGUCAGCAGACUCUUGCUUGAGAGAGCUGUGCCUGGUGUAUUUUUCUAACUUCAAUGAUGAUUUUCCGUACGAUCUCGUUGCUGUACUGGGAAGUCCUGACUGUAAACUGGAGACACUGAGGUUUUCUGGGUUUUCUCUAGACUUUAGGAAUUGUCACAAAAUGGUCUCUAUCCUUCAAUCAGAACUAUCACCCCUGAAGGCGCUGCAUUUGACCAACUGCAUAUGCAGUUAUCCAAAGGACUGCAGUGGAUAUUGUACAAAAGACAUGAAGACAAAUGAGAACUAUGUAGAGUCCAGUGAUGAAUUCCCCCCACUGACUAUGAUUCCUUCUGCUUUGAUUGGUCCGAUCUGUAAACUGGAGAAGUUCAGCAUGCCUGGAUGUUACCUGAAAAAUAAAUGCUGUCAGGUUUUUGCCUCAGUUCUCAGCUCUAACUCCCAGUUGAGAGAGCUUGACCUCAGUCGCAAUGACUUGCAGGAUUUAGGCGUGCAGCUGCUCUCUGUUGGACUUGGGAGUUCUAGAUGUCGGCUGGAAACACUGAGGCUGUCACGCUGUGGGAUCACAGAGGACGGCUGUGUCUCUCUGGCUUCAGCUCUGAAAUCCAACCCCUCCCACCUGAGAGAGCUGGACCUUAGCUACAAUCAUCCUGGAGUGUCAGGAGUGAAAGUGCUCUCUGAGCAACUGGAAAACCCCAAAUGUAGACUGGAAGAGCUCAAUGUCGACCAUAAUGAAGAACACUGGGUCAACCCACAUCUUCUGAGCAAGUAUGCCUGUGAUCUUACAUUCGACCCCAACACUGUGAACAAAAACCUCCUGCUAACUGAGUACGACAGGAAAGUGAGCUACACUCAGGAAAAGCAGCCCUAUCCUGAUCAUCCAGAGAGAUUUGACCAAAUAAAUCAGGUGCUGUGUAGAGAGGCUCUGACUGGGCGCUGCUACUGGGAGGUGGAGUGGGAAGCAUUUGUGAAUAUUGGUGUUGCGUAUAAGAGCCUACAGCGGAAGGGACACUGGGCCAUAGAAAUUGACCGAACCAACAAGAGUUGGUGUUUCAAUAUCACCUCUUCAAAUGGUUACUCCUUCCGACACAACCUGAAGGAAACUUUUAUACCAGUCCCACACAUUGAUGUCCAAGAAUUCCCAACAAAAACCAAGAGACUGGGACUGUUUCUGGACUGGCCAGCCGGCGUUCUCUCUUUCUACUUGGUGUCUGAUGACACGAAAACUCUCAUUCAUACCUUCCACACCACUUUCACUGAGCCUCUCUACCCAGCAUUCACUGUUUAUUUAGGAUCCUCUUUGACCCUGUCCAGUGUCCCGAAGAUGAAAAUGUAUACUGCUCAAUCAAGCUUCACACCUGAGAUGAGAUUAGAAAGAACAGGCAUUUCAUACAGGUUCACGUUCCCUGGUCCGGGGUUGUUCCGGUGUUCUUUGACUGGUCUGGUCUUCGAUGUGACUCAUGAGAGCGAGGUCACCUACAGGACUCUGAUCUGGGAUCCUAUGGUUCUCCAGCCAGCGCACAAGGUGGCUGGAGGCCCGCUGUUCAGCAUCGAGUGUUCUCAGGACUCUGUUCGUCAGCUGCACCUCCCACACUGUGAGCCUGAGCCUGCACUGGUCUCUGACAGCAUCGCUGUUGUUCACAUCACGGAUGAUGGCAUGAGCAUCAUACAGCCUCUGGAGAUCACUGAAACUCACGUGGUCGUGGACGUUCCUCACCUCUCUGCCUUUGGCAUCGUCUGGGAUCUCACCGCGCGGUUUUUCAAUUACGGGACAAAACCCAUUCGUGGCCAAGUCCUGCUGUUCCUCAGAAACAGGCCGCGCCUCAUCCUCAGUGUGAUGCUGCUACCAGGAAACGUCCCUCUGCACGACGUGAAAGCGCAGCACACUACUUCAGAGUACAUCGAAGUGCCGUCCUUCUGUUAUUUCCACAAAGGCCAAAAGUACAGUCUCAACAGCGCCCCACAGGACUUUAAAAUCCAGCCUGCAUGUGCAGAGUUUUUUGAAAAUUAUGGACCAAAUUACCACCCGACCUUUGAGAUCAUCCUGACCAUGAGCACAGAGGAAGUGACGUUGAUGGUGCAAGAUCCAGAAAAGACACAAGUGUGGGAGCAUGACCUCCAUCUGCCAGCUUCAUCCUCUCAUGAUUCUCCAGCUGGAAGUCCUCCUCAGAUGGGGAUCAACACCUCAGCAGAGAAGCUGCGACGAGCUCGGACAAACUUCAUCGAUAAAGUGUCGGAUCCGGUUCUGAACAAGCUGCUGGAUGAGCUGCAGCACUUCACCGUACUGACCGACGCUGAGGGCGAAGCAGCCAGAGCCAAACCCAGAGCCGACAAAGCACGAGACCUGAUCGACACGGUGCGAAAGAAAGGAGCAGAAGCAAGUUCAAAACUGAUCGACGUCUUUCAUGCCAACGAUCCGUACCUGUGCAAAGAGCUCAGCUUAAUGUGAAGCAGAAAUCUGUGGAGUGACGAUCACAUGCUAACAUCACCAAGCACAACACACACUCCACAAAAGAAGAAAAACCAACACUGAUGUGACUUCAGAGGCUUUAACUGUUCGAUUGUGUGAGGUUCAAGCUGAGACUGAUCAACACUAAAAAAGCCAAAGCUGACAUUCCUGCAUUUUCCCAUCAACACAUCAAAAAGUGUGCUCAGUGAAUAUUAUGCUGAGAGUGCUGUGCUGCCAGCUGGGAUUAAUAUUGCAUAUCAGCUAUAUUUUAGCUAUAUUGGAGCUUUGUGGCACAACAGCCUCUGAAAACAGAAUAGAGGAGCAAGAAGAAGCGCUCCAGCUAGAUAAUUCACCUACAGACCAGACAGAGAGAUGAAGUGAAUUAAUUUCUAUAUGAUCAAAUGAUGUGGCAACAUUAUUCUCAUUGCAUCAAAUGUCAGAUGCUGCUGGGUUCUCAAUGCUGUGAGAUAACUGGUUUCAAAGAGCAGCCAGUAGACUGUAGUUUGAGUCCUGUUUGGAACUUUGUUUUUCUUGUUUUCAUUUUUGCUUAUGAGGAUGAGGUUUGGUGAUGGAGGCACAAAAUCUGCAGAGUUCUUUAUGAGGCCUCACAGACGAGGAGUUGUUACAGACUGAGUCUGGUGGAAAGUCUUUUCAGCCUCCUCACAACCUUAACACAAUCUACAGAGUGGAUCCUCUUCAAAAGCAAAUCCAGACUCUUCUAAUCCCACCAGUUCAUCAGGAUCCAGGAGUGUCAGCUUAAGAUUCAUGUGCUGACAUUCAGGGUCAGGAGGUCAGAGCUCCCUGAGGGAUUUCCAGACAAAGAUGGAGCUCCUUCAUCUGUGUGUCAUUAGCUCAGUCUUCACAAAGCAGCAAACAGCGGUCUUCUCUGCUGCAUGAAUCGCUGCCACGGGAGAAGCAGCAGCAGAGUGGACGUCUUCACUGAGAGCCGUGCUCUCCUGUGGCAGCCGCUCUUCGAUGGUCUUCGAUGAGCUGAUGGCUGUGAGAAGGACUGAGGAAGAGGACGUGAUCCUCCUGAAAGAAAUGAGGCAGCACUGGACGUCUGACAGGCAGAGGGAGCUGAGUCUGCAGGAUGCUGCUGUGGAGGAAGGUCUGUGGGCACACUGAGCUCAAAGCUAAACUGCAGAUGCAGGUGAAGGUGUCGGAGAGGAAUACCUCAGGAUCUUCCAGACUCCUGGGACUCCUGCAGAACCACUGAAGGGGCUUGAUGAUGAAGAUGGCAGAGGGAUGUAUGAGAGCACUUCAGAAAGCAGUUGUGAUGAUGAGGAUGUGUAGCUGUGUGACACCAGCAGAGGCGCCUCAUGGACGAUGUCCAUCAGCAUGACUGCUCUCUUCUGGCAAGACCUCACCUGCUGCCUCCUCCCUCCAUCCCUGACAAUCACAGCUGACUAUUGUGUUGAGCUUCUCUGUUAAAUCAGUUAAAUGUAAAUUCCUCAGAUCAAACCCGCCACACCUUUGGUCAAAUGCAGCAAUUUGCUCCUCACCAUCAUCCAGCUCUACAUCAGGUGUGUGCACUGUGAAGAUUCAGUCCUGGAGCUGGCCGUAAGAAACAAACAUGUGAUUCACUGAGCCUGUUGCUUCAGCUGCUCUUUUCACUCUGUGGAUUUCAGAGACCUUUUGCUAGAAUGGCAGUUUAUUCUUUAGAAUUAGACCAUCAGCAGCCGUUUGCAACUAUCUGAGAUUUGGUGUCACCU
Molecule: RNA transcript, 6531 nt
Organism: Archocentrus centrarchus (flier cichlid)
Lineage: Eukaryota; Metazoa; Chordata; Actinopteri; Cichliformes; Cichlidae
Gene name: NACHT, LRR and PYD domains-containing protein 3-like
Exons: 22
Source: RefSeq, a predicted model, not a curated record